AUGUCAUCCUCACUCCCUCUCUAUCCUCUCUCUCCCCUCUCCUCGGCGCCGACGCUUCCCAUCCACGCAUUACUCAACACGGUGGCCGCCGACGCCGACCCACCUCGCGUCGUCCUCGUCUUCGGCGGCGGGCCCAUCCGCGUCGGCGCCGAGCUCCUCGACGCCGUCCCGUCGCUCCGCUGCAUCAUCACCAUCAGCGCGGGGAUCAACCACAUCGACCUCCGCGAGUGCGUGUGUCGCGGCGUACAGGUCGUCAACGCCGGCGGGGUCUACUCCACCGCUGUCGGCCCUGUUCGACGUGCUCGUCGUGGCGUGCGUGCUGACGGCGGAGACACGGCACAUCUGGACUGGGGGCGUGCUUGACGCGCUGGGGGAGCACCGCGUCGUCGCCCGCUUCUGCUAUAGGGAGCAGCUGGAUCUCCAUCGGGUUGCAGCUGCAAAUGCAAAGGAAAAGAGGUUUCUUUUGAGGACUAUCUCGUCAUCACCAGUUCAACCUUUAUGAAUUUCAGAGAUUGUAUCUUUUUUUCUUUUGGUGGUAACAUUCUUCCCCAAUCUGCCUUCUGUUUCUUCAAAGAUAAGGGCUGGUCGGGGAUUUAGGAACUCAUUCGGUUUUCAUUUUU
Molecule: long non-coding RNA, 620 nt
Organism: Oryza sativa Japonica Group (Japanese rice)
Lineage: Eukaryota; Viridiplantae; Streptophyta; Magnoliopsida; Poales; Poaceae
Source: RefSeq, a predicted model, not a curated record